GGAAGUUGCUCAUAUUUGAGCCACAGCUGCAACCUACACGAUGGCCAUGGCAACACCAGAUCCUUAACCCACUGCACUGGGCUGGGGAUCCAACCCACGCUGCCACAGAGACAACGCCGGAUUCUGAACUCACGUGCCAGAGAGGGAUCGCCUCUGAGACGUGUGUAUAUAUAUAUAUUUUUAAUCUCGGCCUUCCCAUUUGUCCUGUUAUAGUUGAAAUAUUUUAUUUACUUAUUUUAUUUUAGAACAUGUUCAUUUCAGUUCUGUUUUCAUUUUUACUCCUGACACUGGGAUCCUGAGCCCGAGAGCCAGCACAGAAGCGCAGCCCUACUUUCCCUCUGUUAAGUCAAGAGACUCUCAGCUGACCUGUAACUGUCCUCAUCUCUAACCGAAACUAAACUUUCAUUUGAGGCAGUGUGAUAUGAUUAUUAUUGUUAUAAACAAGGCACAGUUUACACAAUCAAAGGCGCAUUUUCCCUUUCCAAGCAGUCCUCUUGGGAGUCUACAAAUUUAUUUUAGCUCUGCUUGCUGUGGCUCAAAACGGACGUGGAAAUCCUCUUUCAGAAUUGCAUCUUUUUCCUUUGAAUGUAGUUCAAGUUUUAGAAAUAGCCAGAAGUCAUUUGAGGCCAAAUCUGAUCGCUGAUGUGGUUUUGGUUUAAGAAGAGGACAUCAUUGGCUGAUAUUAAACACGAGACUUUCCAGCGAAAUUUGGUUGGUUCAGAGUAAAAUGUCUGUAAAGCCCCUGCUGGAUCUGGGCACUGUACCGGGGAGCCACUCGCAGCUUCUGUGCAGGCAGUUCUCCCGCAGGAUUUCCUAGGAUAUUUUGAUGAACGACAGUGUCAGUGAAAUGCGGGUUCAGCACUGAAAGACGGCACCCUGAUAUGUCCGAGUCCAGGUGUACGUUUUAUUGGGAUAUCAUUGACAUACGACAUUGUCCUGGUCUGAGGUGUAACAACAAUGGUGUUGGCAUAUACUGCAACAUGACAACCACAACAAAUUCAGGAAACCACCAAACUGUCUUCCGAAGGGGCUGCACCGCUCUGCACCCCCUGGAAAUGAGUGAGGGUUCCUGUUGCUCUGCAUCCUCGGCGGCAUUUGCUGUUGUCAGUGUCCUGGCCAUUCUCAGAGAUGUGACGUGAAAUCUCAUUGUGGUUUAAGCUGCAUUUCCCUGACGACAUAUGAUGUCUAUCUUAUAGACCAGCAUGUGGUCUAUCUUGGUGAACUUGGAAAGACUGUGUAUUCUGCUACGGUUGGAUGACGUGUUCUACAAAUAUCAACUCGACCCAGGGAAUUGAUGGUGCUGUUCAAUUCAGCUACAUCCUUAUUGGUUUUCUGCUGGAUCAUCAGCUACUGACAGAGGCACAUGCUCCCAGACCCCUCUGACAGCAACUACCACAGUCUUGGCCAACCUGCCCCAGGAGGACACACCCAAGUAGCCACCCUGACUGCAAGGCACGGGUGGCCCCGCAGAAGCAAAGAGAAAACCUGGCCACAAACCUCAGCUGCCCCCAAACAACCUUCGUAUUUCUUUGUUUAGACUCAUAACUAUGUGUCUAGAGGGAUUUGGGCCCACAUCAUGGCAAAAAAACUACACUCCAAGAUUAGCUUGAACGAAGGAGACAGUUCCACACAGUUCUGCUCUGCAAAGAAGUUCAUGGUGUCCUUUUCAGAUUCCACGUGUCAGUGACAGCAUUUGAUGCUGGUGUCUCAUUGUCCGAUGGACUUCACUUAGCCUGAUAAUUUCCAGGUCCAUCCACGUUGCUAAAAAUGCUGGUAUUUUGUUCCUUUUAAUGGCUGAGUAAUAUUCCAUGGUGUGUAUGGACCACAUCUUCUGGAUCCACUCUUCUGUCGAUGGACAUUUAGGUUGUUUCCAUGUCUCGGCUAUUGCACAUAGUGCUGCAAUGAACAUCGGAGUACAUGUGUCUUUGCGAGUCGUGGUUUUCUCUGGAUAAAUGCCCAGGAGUGGGAUUGCUGGAUCCAAUGGUAGUUCUAUGUUUAGUUUUCUGAGGCAUCUCCAUACUGUUUUCCACAGUGGUUGCACCAAUUUGCAAUCCCACCCACAGUGUAAUAGGGUUCCUUUUUCUCCACACCCUCUCCAGCACUAACUGUUUGUAGACUUUUUGAUGAUGGCUAUUCUGGCUGGUGUAAGGUGGUAUCUCCGAGUGGUUUUGAUGUGCAUUUCUCUAAUACUGAGUGAUGUUGAACAUCUUUUCAUGUGUUUUUUGGCCAGAAUUAUCUCAUCUUGUCUUAUGGAUGAGAAACAGAUCCAGAGAAGUCACUUGCUAAUGGUUAUAAAAAAAAUCAAACUUAAAAAACAAAACUUAAAAAUAAAGAAUCAAACAGAUUAGGAGGAUACCAUUUGCAUUAUAAAGGACUUGUCUUAGAGUUCCUGCUGUAGUGCAACAGGAUCUGUGGCAUCUCUGUAGCACCAGGACACAGGUUCAACCCCCAGCCCAGCACAGUGGGCUAAAGGAUCCAGCAUUGCCACAGUUGUGGCGCAGGUCGCAACGCUGGCUCAGAUCUGAUCCCUGGCCCAGGAACUCCAUAUGCCACGUGGCAGCCAAAAAAAAGGGGGGAAAAAUGGACUUAUCUUAACGAGCUGAUUUCCCAAAGGCAUUGAAAUAUGACUCAGUUUAUAUAAACAUAAUUUGCUUACAACUUUUGGGAGGGCCCAUAUACAUGUCUCAGAGUUUCUAGCACAGUGCUAAUUUCAAGUAUUCUGCCAGAUCAUAUGCUCUAACUUAAGAAUCAAAAAGAUUGAAUGGUACCCCUGCCUACCCCCAGAUUGGACAGAGGCCACCAGAACAGAACCUCUUGAUUUUCUCAGAGAGAUCAGUCUGGAUUUUGCCACAGUCGGAAGGGACCAUAGAGGCAACAGUGUGAUGUUUUAGACGGAGGAACCGAGGCUCAGAAUGUGUCCCAGUCGAGGGCACGCAUCAGGCUGGCGGGUGCAGGGAGGCGGGGAUGCUGGCCCCUUGACUCCCAACCCACUGCACUCCCUCCUGCCCCCAGCUGAUCUGUAUGCCCAAUGCCUGCCUCUCCAGAUCCUCCCUCUGCCCUCAUGCCCUUGGCUCCCGCUCUUGGCUAAGAGCCUGCUGGGCCCAGACCUACUUGCAGAAGCUGCAGAAGAUGGAGAAGAGCCCCAGGAUCAUGUUGGCCAGGGACAAGGCAUUGGCAACAUCCUUCCAGGAAAAGUCACUCAUCUGGGGGCGGCUCGGAUCUUUGGUCAGGAAGAAACGGGUACACUGACCUGGAGCCCAGGGGAGAGGGCCGAGCGGUUACCAAGGUCGAAGGGCCCCCAAAGAGGCUCCCAGGGGUCCGGUAGUUCUUGUUUCCCUAGACCUCACCCCAGAACUGCACCCUCCCACCACUGUUUCGCUGGCUGGAGUGAGGGCGGCGGGAAGCAGACGGAGGAAGCCCAGGAGGGAAGAGAGAGGGGCUGAAGAUGAGCGCCCGGGAAAGGUCCACAGCAAAGCGAGUAAACUGGCACAACCACGGCUCCCCUCUGACCGCACCCCUGCCUCCAGCACAGGCUGCCUCCCGUCCAAGUGCUGACCCUCCCGGCACCCCCAGGAGCCUUUUGUCACAGAGGCCGCUCUCAUAAAUGAGUCCUCUUAAAAAAAGAAAAUUUACCAAGUAUUUUUAAUACUUUGGGGUGAGCCAAAAACCCUGGGAAGGGGUAACCCUCUCACCCCCACGAGUGGCCCGGGGGAGCGAGGCUACCUGACAGGAGGGAAGCACAGAGGACCGGCCGCAGGCUCAGCCUGUGUCCCGCAGGCCACACUCAGGCCCUCGGAAGGCCAGGGCUGGCUCGGACAAGCCCCACAGCAGCCCAGCACCACCAAGGGAAGCGGUGAGAAGAGAGACAUGGGCGCGGCCAGCACGGGACCGUUCACAAGGCACCUUCGCCGCGCUCCCCCUUCCGAUCCCACGACUGGGAGACGGAGGUGGGUUUCGCGAAUGAGGAACUAACGCCCUGCGAGGUGGGGCUCUGAGCUGAGAGCGCAGACAGGCUGAGGAAACCCUAAGCUUGCCGGUUUGCUUCCAAAUCGGGUGCCUCUUUCGCCCAGAGCAUAAUCUCAGCAGCAGGUCGUCUGUGGGGCAGCGGCCUUGCGGGAGCUCAGACGGCCAGCCUGGGUGGGCAGCCUCGGCCUCCACAUGCAGGGGCGGCCUGCCCCGGCCUCCCUAAGCGGCAAGAAUGCAGCUGGCCCGGCCCGUUUGCACAGUCCCUCUGGGUCUGUUCUCACUCCAAGACCAAAUACGUGCACUCCUUACACACACACUGGGCGUGAAACUUUCUUCUGGAGCAGCAGCCCCAGCGCGCUCUGAAACAGGGAGGCCCCACUGGUUGUAAACUUACUACCCACAAACGGCACAAUCCUGAACUUGAGUAAAAUACACAGGUUUCAAGGUGCUUUCAGGUCUGUGUUCUCAUUUAAUCUCCGUUCCUUUUAGAGGCGAGGAAGCUGAGACUCUGCCUCCCUGCAGCCCCUCUGCGGAGCCUAGGCCCUUCUGGACUGGGUAGGAGCUGGAGAAAUCAUGGUCCGUCCCCAUAAACACUCUGCCGCCAAAAUGGCAGAGGUUGAGAAGGGGCUACACGGGGAGUUUGGGACUCAGAGUUGAUCAGGCAGCACAGUGGAGCUUACUGCUCCCACAGGCCAGCUUCAUUUGCCAAGAGGUAUCAGGAGCUGCAUGGCCAAAGCCACCGGGACUCCUGAGAUCUUGUCAGACCAGGUCCCCACAAAACCUAAGACAGGAAGCACUGCUGGCCAGAGAAACCUGAGAGGCGCGGGGGGGGGGCGAAGGGCUGGGUGCACACCCCUCCCCAUCAACCCUUCUCUCCUUGCCUGUCCUGAGUCUCAAGGCUGGCCGCAGCAAGACCAAACACUGUGUUCCAGCCUAGCCCACUGCUGCCUGGGAGAGCAGCACCCUAGCUCCUCUGACUCUAGGAGGCAGUCAGCAGGUGCCUGGAACUUGUCCACCAAUUACUAGACACACCCCAUCUACACUACUUCAGUUUUUUUCAUUAAUGUUCAACAAAUUGUCUACUAAAUUAUCUCUUUCAUUCACAAAGUACUUCCUCUAUCACUUUGGAGGUCAAAGAAGACCCAGAGAGGGGAAGAAUCUUGCUCACGGUCACAUAAGAAGUGGCAGAAAAAGACUUCCAGCUUCACCUUAAGUGUUCUUUCCUGUGUAAUCGGGGGUACUGACUGAUCGUUGAAUCCGUUGUAAGCUCAGCCUGAACAAGGUGCUGGGGGAAGCCCUGGGCCCUGCCUUCAUGCAGCUUACGGUCUGUUCAGGACACCAAGACUCAUGCACGCAUGUGGAGACUUGCAGACUGUUCAUGGGGGUAACUCAUCUGAGAGACGGGGAAACUGAGGUUUCAGGACAGUUAGGUAACGUGUCCCAGUACAUGGUGGAGCCAGGAUUGGAACCAGGCCUCCUCCUUCUCAGUUAAAAGCCACUCGCAGCAUAAGGCACAGGCCCAGGUGUGAACGCCUGUGGACCUGAGAGUUAGGGCUGUAGAAAUUCAGAGAAAAAAGGAACAAUCCAUUGAUUCAGCAAACGCUUGGACUUGGGACACACAGAAGAUUAAGACCUGGUCUUAUCUCUCAGAAAGCUCAGUCUAGCAGCGGCGGGGAGCCCUGCAAAGCAAAGUGACUGAGGAGGCUGCUAAGGGAACACAGAAGGGCCCCGGUCAGGGUGCUUGGAACAGGCUUCUCAGAGGAGGGGGUCAGAGCCGAGGCUCUGCACAGCAGUGGCUGCAGGACCAGUUCAUGCCGCUCCCUGGCUCCUUGGAGGCCAUCGCCGGCUCCCCCCGUGCUCUCAGGAUGAAGUCCAACUCCUUCACUUGGUGGGCAAACCCUUCGUGAUAAAGCCCUGCUCAACGCUCGCCCCCGCCUCCAUCGCGCAUGGAACCCCUCCUCUGCCCCGCUCUUGCCGGGGGUGGUCCUCUUUGGGGACCCUGACACCCCCCCUCAGGCCUGGAGGUGCGCGCCUCUGCACUGCCACAUCUCCUGCUCUCCGCGGGGCACGGGCACGGGCACUCUGAUCUGGCAGCGCCUACCUGGCCUUCCUCCUCUGCUGUAGGGGAAGUAACUCCAAGGCCCACCGCGGUCCCCAUUGACAACAGAAGGUGUUCAGUGAUUGUUAUGUUAAAUUAACAGAACAUUCUGGCGCUUGCCUGAGAUCCUCUCCCGGUACCAAAUCCCUCAAAGCCUGUCCCGUGUGUCCUGUGAUAAACCACCUCAAACGAACUCUUGACAGUCCGGACCCUUCCACACACCCAGCAU
Molecule: non-coding RNA, 6293 nt
Organism: Sus scrofa (pig)
Lineage: Eukaryota; Metazoa; Chordata; Mammalia; Artiodactyla; Suidae
Source: RefSeq, a predicted model, not a curated record